GUUUGAUCCUGGCUCAGAGCGAACGCUGGCGGCAGGCUUAACACAUGCAAGUCGAGCGGGCAUAGCAAUAUGUCAGCGGCAGACGGGUGAGUAACGCGUGGGAACGUACCUUUUGGUUCGGAACAACACAGGGAAACUUGUGCUAAUACCGGAUAAGCCCUUACGGGGAAAGAUUUAUCGCCGAAAGAUCGGCCCGCGUCUGAUUAGCUAGUUGGUGAGGUAAUGGCUCACCAAGGCGACGAUCAGUAGCUGGUCUGAGAGGAUGAUCAGCCACAUUGGGACUGAGACACGGCCCAAACUCCUACGGGAGGCAGCAGUAGGG
This 322-nucleotide ribosomal RNA is filed under the name Enterococcus faecalis. Its description in RNAcentral is "bacterial SSU rRNA". It matches the Rfam family "Bacterial small subunit ribosomal RNA", at positions 11 to 359 of the family's 1533-position model. The record is from RNAcentral. Lineage: Bacteria; Bacillati; Bacillota; Bacilli; Lactobacillales; Enterococcaceae.